AGAAAAAGAUUGGCAGGUGACUUGAGU
This 27-nucleotide non-coding RNA is filed under the name Mus musculus (house mouse). Lineage: Eukaryota; Metazoa; Chordata; Mammalia; Rodentia; Muridae. The record is from RNAcentral.